This 494-nucleotide ribosomal RNA is filed under the name uncultured bacterium. RNAcentral's name for it is "partial 16S ribosomal RNA". It matches the Rfam family "Bacterial small subunit ribosomal RNA", at positions 28 to 507 of the family's 1533-position model. The record is from RNAcentral.
GACGAACGCUGGCGGCGUGCUUAACACAUGCAAGUCGAACGGAAAGGCCUGCUUUCCCUUGUGGAUUGCGGGUACUCGAGUGGUGAACGGGUGAGUAACACGUGAGUGAUCUGCCCCCAACUUGGGUAUAAGCCUGGGAAACUGGGUCUAAUUCCCGAUAGGACUGCAGGGUGGUGCCUGUGGUGGAAAACGAUUUUCUAGUGGUUGGGGAUGAGCUCGCGGCCUAUCAGUUUGUUGGUGGGGUAAUGGCCUACCAAGGCGGCGACGGGUAGCCGGCCUGAGAGGGUGGACGGCCACAUUGGGACUGAGAUACGGCCCAGACUCCUACGGGAGGCAGCAGUGGGGAAUAUUGCACAAUGGGCGGAAGCCUGAUGCAGCGACGCCGCGUGGGGGAUGACGGCCUUCGGGUUGUAAACUCCUUUCGACCGCGAGGAAGCCACCUGGUUGGAAGGGUGGUGACGGUAGUGGUAGAAGAAGCACCGGCUAACUACGUG